UGCUCAUUAGCUAGUUGAUACAUUUGUCUUUAAAAAUACAACUGACAUAUAAGGAUCGUAAUGGUGCAAUGUGGAUAAAUUUAUCGGUUUCCGAGAGCAAAAUUGACAGCGCGUCAUCCCUACAAUGGCUUCCAUUUCUACGAUUGUGAAAACGAACUGGCGUAAUGGGGAGAUAAUUUUGACGAAGUAGAAUCCUGACUG
RNAcentral lists this long non-coding RNA (201 nucleotides) under Mytilus galloprovincialis (Mediterranean mussel). Lineage: Eukaryota; Metazoa; Mollusca; Bivalvia; Mytilida; Mytilidae. The record is from RNAcentral.